UAUUAUUCAGCUUAAAGAAAUGGUAUCGUGGCGAACUGAGUUCGGGUUGCAAGUACCCGGAUUUGGGGUCGCCACAGGUUGGUAUCAAAGCUGUAGGUUAUAAACGUUAGGAAUGCAAAACCUAGGUUAUAACCUUAGUAGAAUGGAGGACGAAAGUUAAGAUAGAUAUUCAGUGGACCAUGAGACGAAGUACUCUGGUGAAGAAUUAUAGGAUAUGUUAGAUAGAUGAUGAGUCGAGAAGAUUCAUCAAGUGGUACUAAAUAAAAUAUUCCUUCAUUUUAUCGAUGAAUAUAUUUUAUUUCGGUACUAAUGUUGUCUCGUUUAUUAUGGUCAUAGGA
This 338-nucleotide long non-coding RNA is filed under the name Panax ginseng (ginseng). RNAcentral's name for it is "long non-coding RNA (PGIN_LNC010864)". Lineage: Eukaryota; Viridiplantae; Streptophyta; Magnoliopsida; Apiales; Araliaceae. The record is from RNAcentral.